AACGAACGCUGGCGGCGCGCCUAAUACAUGCAAGUCGAGCGAGAAGACGUAGCAAUACGUUUGUAAAGCGGCGAACGGGUGAGGAAUACAUGGGUAACCUACCCUCGAGUGGGGAAUAACUAGCCGAAAGGUUAGCUAAUACCGCGUACGCUCCUUGGACUUCGGUUCAGGGAGGAAAGCGAUACCGUGGGUAUCGCGCUCUUGGAUGGGCUCAUGUCCUAUCAGCUUGUUGGUGAGGAACGGCUCACCAAGGCUUCGACGGGUAGCUGGUCUGAGAGGACGAUCAGCCACACUGGCACUGCGACACGGGCCAGACUCCUACGGGAGGCAGCAGUAAGGAUAUUGCGCAAUGGGCGAAAGCCUGACGCAGCGACGCCGCGUGGGGGAUGAAGGUCUU
RNAcentral lists this ribosomal RNA (397 nucleotides) under uncultured bacterium. RNAcentral's name for it is "bacterial SSU rRNA". It matches the Rfam family "Bacterial small subunit ribosomal RNA", at positions 29 to 418 of the family's 1533-position model. The record is from RNAcentral.